UAAAAAGAAAAUCCGUUGGCUUUAUUGACCGUGAGGGUUCAAGUCCC
Molecule: transfer RNA, 47 nt
Filed under: Orthotrichum stellatum
Lineage: Eukaryota; Viridiplantae; Streptophyta; Bryopsida; Orthotrichales; Orthotrichaceae
Description: partial tRNA-Leu
Source: RNAcentral